Molecule: transfer RNA, 75 nt
Filed under: bacterium
Lineage: Bacteria
Also listed under: 2 other names
Description: tRNA-Gly
Rfam family: tRNA
About the family: Transfer RNA (tRNA) molecules are approximately 80 nucleotides in length.
Source: RNAcentral
GCGAGAGUAGUUCAGUGGUAGAACGCUUCCUUGCCAAGGAAGAGGCCGCGGGUUCGAGUCCCGUCUCUCGCUCCA